RNAcentral lists this ribosomal RNA (305 nucleotides) under uncultured bacterium. Its description in RNAcentral is "bacterial SSU rRNA". It matches the Rfam family "Bacterial small subunit ribosomal RNA", at positions 333 to 636 of the family's 1533-position model. The record is from RNAcentral.
UGGCGCCUACGGGGGGCAGCAGUGAGGAAUAUUGGUCAAUGGCCGAGAGGCUGAACCAGCCACGUCGCGUGAGGGAUGACGGCCCUACGGGUUGUAAACCUCUUUUGUCGGGGAGCAAGACCCGCCACGAGUGGCGGAGCGAGAGUACCCGAAGAAAAAGCAUCGGCCAACUCCGUGCCAGCAGCCGCGGUAAUACGGAGGAUGCGAGCGUUAUCCGGAUUUAUUGGGUUUAAAGGGUGCGCAGGCGGACCAUCACGUCAGCGGUAAAAUCGUGGGGCCCAACCCCCUCCCGCCGUUGAAACUGG